RNAcentral lists this small RNA (76 nucleotides) under Xanthomonas hortorum. RNAcentral's name for it is "sX9 sRNA". It matches the Rfam family "Xanthomonas sRNA sX9". The record is from RNAcentral. Lineage: Bacteria; Pseudomonadati; Pseudomonadota; Gammaproteobacteria; Lysobacterales; Lysobacteraceae. RNAcentral also lists the same sequence under 2 other names.
AUGUACUGCACGUACACACCGGUUCCUCCGCGCCGUCUGCACGCACCUGACGACUGCUUGCCACGUUUUGCCAGCC